AGAAUAUUCUUUGGAUAGCUAAUCUACCACUCCCUGUACCAGGGCAACCCAGUACUAGGAAAACAUCUUGUAAACAGGUUGACUUAUCCUUCAUCCAUCUUUCUUAUCUCCUCCAAAUGGCAUGAUUGUUUUAUUUGCUUAUUGAAAGGUGACCACGGGGCCAACACAAAAUUAUUCUGAAUUUAGUCUUAAAACUUGUUUAUAAUGUUUAAUCUUAUGAUCAAUAAAACUCUUAAUUACUAAUCAAUACAUAGUAAGCAGUGAACAAUUUAACAAUUCUCCUGCCUUUUUUAACCUGUGAAAAUCUUGUUAUAGUUAUGUGCAACUUGCACCUGUCAAUGAACCAUUCAAUAAAUGUAUUGCCUACUAAUCUAGUUUUUAUUUCUAAGGUCACUGUUACCAGCUGUGUCCAAUCAGCAAAAGAUGAACUUACCAAUAAGGCAGAGAUGAAACAUUUUAAAAGAGGAAGUAUUAUCACUACCUUGAAACUCAAAGAGGAAGACCCAGGACCAUUCCCCAAGUUUGCUGGAGAGCUAUUUGAUAAUGUGUGCUGCAAUAAAUUCUGGAAAUAUACAAUCAAUGGACCUGGUGUGGAUGAGGAUCCAAUUGGUUUGUUUUCUAUAGAAGAUAACCAUACUGGGAAAAUCUAUGUUCACUAUCCAAUUGAUCGGGAGAAAACACCAUUUUUUUUGGUACCUAUAAAUUUUACCUCUCAAAUCUUCUUUCCAUAUCCCCUUCCUCAAAAUUAUUGGGAAUAGUAUUGUGAGACAAUAAAGAAGAAAAAGUUCAUUCCAUCAAAAAUUUAGAGCUGAGAUUGAGUAGUCAAUCAAUAAAUACUUAUUAAUCCCCUACUAGCUUUCUGCCAUUGAUCUAAUAAAUGGUGGGGAAGGGGGAGUCAAAAGACAGUCCUUGCCUUCAAGAAACUUAUAACUAAUGAGGAAACAAUUUACAAACAAAUUUGUAUCAACAAGCUAUAUAGAGGAUAAAUAAUAAAUAAAUAAAGAAGAGAAGACAUUAGAAUUGAGGGAUUGUUGAUCUGAAAAAGAUGGUAUUGCUGGGUCAAAGGAUAUGUAUGCUUUUAUAGCCCUUUGGGCAUGGAUUUAAAUUUGUCUUCAGAAUGGUUGUCAUCGAACAACUUCCCCAACAUUUCAUUAGUGUUUCAGUUUUCCAGCAUUCUCUCCAACUUCUCUCAUUUUACUUUUCUAUCAUAGCCAGUCUUCUAGGUAUGGGGUGGUACCUUAGAAUUGUUUUAAUUUGCAUUUUUUCAAAAGUGAUUAAAAGCAAUUUUCACCUAACUCUUGAUAACUUUAAUUGCCUUGAAAACUGCCUGUUCAUAUCUUUUGAGCAUUUAUCAAUGCAGGAAUGACUUGCAUUCUUAUACGUUUGACUCAUUUCUUUAUGUAUUUGAGAAAUGGGAACUUAUAAACUUGUAAUUUUUUUUCAGUGUUAUGAUUACUCUGUAUCACCCUUCAUUCUAUUAUAGAGCCUUUUUAUCUUCUCUCUCCUUUCAUCCUGUCCAUCCUCAAAAGUGUUUUGUUUCUGAUCAUCACUUCUCCAAAUUUGCCCUCUUUUCUUAGCCUACCCUUCUCUUCUAUCAUUCCCUUCCUACUUCACUCUACUACAAGAGAGAUUUCUAUACCCAGUUGACUGAUUAUUUUCUUACUUCUUUGAGGCAAUUCUUAUGAGAGUAAGGUUCAAGCAUUCUCUUCCCACCUUCUCCAUUUCCCUCUCUAUUGUAAAAAGCUUAUUCAUUCCUCUUUUAUGUGAGAAAUUUUAACCUGGUCUACCUCUCCUUUCCCCCUUUUCCAAAUACAUUCUUCUUUCUCACCCCUCACUUUAUUUUAUUUUUUUAAACCCUUACCUUCCCUCUUGGAGUCAAUACUGUCUAUUGGCUCCAAGGCAGAAGAGUGGUAAGGGCUAGGCAAUGGGGAUCAAGUGACUUGCCCAGGGUCAAAAAGCUAUGAAGUGGCUGAGGCCAGAUUUGAACCUAGGACCUCCUGUCUCUAGGCCUGGUCUCAAUCCACUGAGCUACCCAGCUGUCUUUAUUUUUUAAGUGAAAAUGGGAAAAAGAAAACAAGAAAUUAAAAAGCAACUAGAAAAACAGAUAUAAGAAGGGAAGGAAGAAAGAUAUGUCUUAAUAACAGAAUUAACAUACUGGAAAAAGAAACAAGCAAAAAAAAACAAAUGAAAAGUGUGACUUGAAAAGGAGAAUUGAACAAAUGGAGAAAGAAAAUCAAAAGAUCAUAGAAGACAACUAGUCUUCAAAAAUUAUAAUUGGGGAAUUAGAAGCUAAUUACUUCACAAGAUAUCAAGACAAUAAAACAAAAUCAAAAGAAAAGAAAAAUGGAAGAAAAUAUGAAAUAUCUCAUAAACAAUAAAAACUGACCUGGAAAAUAGAUCUAGGAGAGACCAUUUAAGAAUUAUUGGACUACCUGAAUGUUAUGAUAAAAAAAAACCCUAAACAUCUUAUUACAAGAAGCUAUCCAAGAAAACUGCCCUGAUGUUCUUGAACAAGAGGGUAAAAUAGAAACUGAAAGAAUCCACAGAUCACUUCCUGAAAUAAAUCCCCAAAUGAUAAUUCCUAGAAAUGUUAUAGCCAAGUUCAAAAACUCCCAGGAAAAGAAGAAAAUACUGCAAGCAGGCAGGGAAAAAAACAAUUCACAUAUCAUGGAGCCCCAGUCAAGAUUACCCAAGAUCUGGUAGCUUUCACAUUGAAGGACUGGAAGGCUUGAAAUAUGGUAUUUUGGAAUGCAAGGGAACUGGGGAUAUAACCAAGAAUCACAAAGCCAUCAAAACUGACUAUAUUCUUUCCAGGGAAAGCAUGUUCAUUUAAUGAAA
This is a non-coding RNA of Monodelphis domestica (gray short-tailed opossum), 2838 nucleotides long. The record is from RefSeq and is a predicted model, not a curated record. NCBI's taxonomy places the organism in Eukaryota, Metazoa, Chordata, Mammalia, Didelphimorphia, Didelphidae.